UCUCUCUGAAUCUGCGAACGGCUCCGCAAACCAGUUGUAAACCAUAGCAGGCACGCCUCGGCGGGGACCCCGGUCGCAAGGCCGGACCCACUCCUUGGCUAUAGGGAUAACCCUGGUAAUUCUGAGGCUAAUACAUGAACGUACACCCCGGCUGACGGGUUAAACCGGAUGUCGGGGACCGGGUGGGCCAUGCCGCAAGAAUUUUACCUAGGAGUAGCCACACAGUAAGACCAUCAUACCAAACGUUCCUCGCUUCGCUUGGGGGCUUGCCCCCUCGUUCGGCGUGUGUUCGGGUGGCCCCUGCUGGGUGCUUCUGACCUAUCAACUAGAUGGCAGCGUAAGGGACAUGCUAUGGUGACAACGGGUACAGAGGAUAAGGGUUCGAUCCUGGAGAGUGGGCCUGAGAGAUU
This 410-nucleotide ribosomal RNA is filed under the name Physarum apiculosporum. RNAcentral's name for it is "SSU rRNA". It matches the Rfam family "Eukaryotic small subunit ribosomal RNA", at positions 76 to 405 of the family's 1831-position model. The record is from RNAcentral. Lineage: Eukaryota; Evosea; Eumycetozoa; Physariida; Physaraceae.